RNAcentral lists this ribosomal RNA (249 nucleotides) under uncultured bacterium. RNAcentral describes it as "partial 16S ribosomal RNA". It matches the Rfam family "Bacterial small subunit ribosomal RNA", at positions 796 to 1041 of the family's 1533-position model. The record is from RNAcentral.
CACGCCCUAAACGAUGUCAACUAGGUGUUGGGUGGGUAAAACCAUUUAGUACCGUAGCUAACGCGUGAAGUUGACCGCCUGGGGAGUACGGCCGCAAGGUUAAAACUCAAAGGAAUUGACGGGGACCCGCACAAGCGGUGGAUGAUGUGGAUUAAUUCGAUGCAACGCGAAAAACCUUACCUACCCUUGACAUGUUCAGAAUCCCGGAGAGAUUUGGGAGUGCUCGAAAGAGAACUGGAACACAGGUGC